Molecule: ribosomal RNA, 490 nt
Filed under: uncultured bacterium
Lineage: Bacteria
Description: partial 16S ribosomal RNA
Rfam family: Bacterial small subunit ribosomal RNA
Source: RNAcentral
AUUGAGCGCUGGCGGCAGGCCUAACACAUGCAAGUCGAACGGUAACAGGAAGAAGCUUGCUUCUUUGCUGACGAGUGGCGGACGGGUGAGUAAUGUCUGGGAAACUGCCUGAUGGAGGGGGAUAACUACUGGAAACGGUAGCUAAUACCGCAUAACGUCGCAAGACCAAAGAGGGGGACCUUCGGGCCUCUUGCCAUCGGAUGUGCCCAGAUGGGAUUAGCUAGUAGGUGGGGUAACGGCUCACCUAGGCGACGAUCCCUAGCUGGUCUGAGAGGAUGACCAGCCACACUGGAACUGAGACACGGUCCAGACUCCUACGGGAGGCAGCAGUGGGGAAUAUUGCACAAUUGGCGCAAGCCUGAUGCAGCCAUGCCGCGUGUAUGAAGAAGGCCUUCGGGUUGUAAAGUACUUUCAGCGGGGAGGAAGGGAGUAAAGUUAAUACCUUUGCUCAUUGACGUUACCCGCAGAAGAAGCACCGGCUAACUCCGUG